Molecule: ribosomal RNA, 497 nt
Filed under: uncultured bacterium
Lineage: Bacteria
Description: partial 16S ribosomal RNA
Rfam family: Bacterial small subunit ribosomal RNA
Source: RNAcentral
GAUGAACGCUGGCGGCGUGCCUAAUACAUGCAAGUCGAGCGAACAGACGAGGAGCUUGCUCCUCUGACGUUAGCGGCGGACGGGUGAGUAACACGUGGAUAACCUACCUAUAAGACUGGGAUAACUUCGGGAAACCGGAGCUAAUACCGGAUAAUAUAUUGAACCGCAUGGUUCAAAAGUGAAAGACGGUCUUGCUGUCACUUAUAGAUGGAUCCGCGCCGCAUUAGCUAGUUGGUAAGGUAACGGCUUACCAAGGCAACGAUGCGUAGCCGACCUGAGAGGGUGAUCGGCCACACUGGAACUGAGACACGGUCCAGACUCCUACGGGAGGCAGCAGUAGGGAAUCUUCCGCAAUGGGCGAAAGCCUGACGGAGCAACGCCGCGUGAGUGAUGAAGGUCUUCGGAUCGUAAAACUCUGUUAUUAGGGAAGAACAAAUGUGUAAGUAACUAUGCACAUCUUGACGGUACCUAAUCAGAAAGCCACGGCUAACUACGUG